GUAGGUGGCAAGCGUUGUCCGGAAUUAUUGGGCGUAAAGCGCGCGCAGGCGGUCCUUUAAGUCUGAUGUGAAAGCCCACGGCUCAACCGUGGAGGGUCAUUGGAAACUGGGGGACUUGAGUACAGAAGAGGAAAGCGGAAUUCCAAGUGUAGCGGUGAAAUGCGUAGAGAUUUGGAGGAACACCAGUGGCGAAGGCGGCUUUCUGGUCUGUAACUGACGCUGAGGCGCGAAAGCGUGGGGAGCAAACAGGAUUAGAUACCCUGGUAGUCCACGCCGUAAACGACGAGUGCUAAGUGUUAGGGGGUUUCCCGCCCCCUUAGUGCUGCAGCUAACGCAUUAAGCACUCCGCCUGGGGAGUACGGCCGCAAGGCUG
This 373-nucleotide ribosomal RNA is filed under the name uncultured organism. RNAcentral describes it as "partial 16S ribosomal RNA". It matches the Rfam family "Bacterial small subunit ribosomal RNA", at positions 527 to 896 of the family's 1533-position model. The record is from RNAcentral.